RNAcentral lists this ribosomal RNA (274 nucleotides) under uncultured bacterium. Its description in RNAcentral is "partial 16S ribosomal RNA". It matches the Rfam family "Bacterial small subunit ribosomal RNA", at positions 523 to 796 of the family's 1533-position model. The record is from RNAcentral.
AUACGAAAGCUGCAAGCGUUGUUCGGAUUUACUGGGCGUAAAGAGAGUGUAGGUUGUUUAUUAAGUCGGAUGUGAAAUCCCGGGGCUCAACCUCGGAACUGCAUUCGAUACUGGUAGACUAGAGUUCGGGAGGGGUAAGCGGAAUUCCGUGUGUAGCAGUGAAAUGCGUAGAUAUACGGAGGAACACCUGAGGCGAAGGCGGCUUACUGGACCGAUACUGACACUGAGACUCGAAAGCGUGGGUAACAAACAGGAUUAGAAACCCCAGUAGUCC